This 254-nucleotide ribosomal RNA is filed under the name uncultured bacterium. RNAcentral's name for it is "partial 16S ribosomal RNA". It matches the Rfam family "Bacterial small subunit ribosomal RNA", at positions 524 to 776 of the family's 1533-position model. The record is from RNAcentral.
UACGGGGGGAGCAAGCGUUGUUCGGAUUUACUGGGCGUAAAGGGCGCGUAGGCGGUCGUGACAAGUCACUUGUGAAAUCUCCGGGCUUAACUCGGAACGGUCAAGUGAUACUGUCGGACUAGAGUACAGAAGGGGCAACUGGAAUUCUCGGUGUAGCGGUGAAAUGCGUAGAUAUCGGGAGGAAUACCAGUGGCGCAAGCGGCGCCCUGGCCGUGACCUGACACUGAGCCACGACGGCGUGGGGAGCAAACGGG